AAAAUUAAAGGGUGUGGAUUGGCCAGGACUUGCUCACAUACCAAAUGUUUAUUGGCCUGGUGAAUAAGCAAUCGGCUUUCUGAUCAUCCGUUUCAACGAAAUCAGGAAAAGACGUUGUUGCUGCUGUUGGUCAAGUCCAAAUUCUAUUUCUUGUGCAUUUACGGAAUCCUCGAAGUUGUGGUCUGAACUCUUUUAAAAGGACUUUUAAUUACUAUUGACUCUGUUAAUGAAUGAAUAAAUUGUGGAAAUUGUGCUGAAGUAGAAUUUUUAUAUUUCCCGGAUUUGAUGUUGUGUAAAUGUAAUUGCUUAAAUGAUAUCACAUGUUAUGGGUUAGCAUUAUUCCACUUAAA
Molecule: long non-coding RNA, 350 nt
Organism: Neltuma alba
Lineage: Eukaryota; Viridiplantae; Streptophyta; Magnoliopsida; Fabales; Fabaceae
Exons: 2
Source: RefSeq, a predicted model, not a curated record